Molecule: long non-coding RNA, 619 nt
Organism: Phyllostomus discolor (pale spear-nosed bat)
Lineage: Eukaryota; Metazoa; Chordata; Mammalia; Chiroptera; Phyllostomidae
Exons: 2
Source: RefSeq, a predicted model, not a curated record
UUGUCCCUUGGCUGAGGUUCAGACCCUGCUGCUUUCAGCCAGACGGGGCAACAAAAAGGAGCUUCAGAGGGAAGAACAACAGUCACUUUAUGCAGGAUUCCUCCCAGGCUGUUCAAGCCUCUCCCCAUGUCCCCUGAUCUGAAAUGUUUUUGCUUUCUUUGCUCUGUAGGAUUCCAGCUGACAGCUCAGAGAAAAUGGAAGGAAAUUCAGCGACGCUGUGGAUGACGUGGCUGCAGAACCCCCUGACGGCGGAGGGUCCCGGAGAGCUGUGUGUCCAGAAGGCGCGAUAUCCUUUGUUUAAGCCUCUGCAGCCUCCUCCCCAGCAGGCCGUCUGUGCGGGAAGCAAUCGCGUUUCCUAACUCGCACGCAGCCCAGAAAUCGAAGCACGGUUUGGCCUCUUCGUCAUUUUCAAAAAUCAAACCUGCCUAGGGACCAAGUUUCAGCAGCAGCUGUUUCUGCUUUAUGUUUUAUGUAAAGACAUUUAAUUGUGAGCCUUGUGUGCUCCCAUUUUUUUUUUUUUGUAGAGCAGACCAUGUGCCUGUAUAAAAUAACCACUGAUGUAUGGACAGGGGUGUUUCCAUUUGCAGUCAGUGUUUUUCAGGAUAAAGUCAGAUUAACU